CCGCGGGAUCAGGGCAGGAGGAAAGAGGGAAAGCUGGUUCUUAUGAUCACAUGUCAGCCAGACAGGGUCAGAGGUCGUUUCCUUAGCACGAUUACCCUUCUCUUGUCAGUUACAACAAAAUGGCUGCUGUAGCAGCACCGUUACUGAUAAUUUACUGACGGCGAGAGCGACUAGCUCAACUUUUCCCUUUCCCCAGCCCCCUCCCCUCUCCGACAACCCCACUCUGACGUUGUUUUGUCUACUGUUGGAUAUUUCCUCCCCCCCUUCUAUUUGCACUUUAAAUUGAUGAGAGACCCCGAGUUUAAAGCUGCCAAAGAGCCUCAGGAAGAAAUUAAAAGGAACUGUCAAUGUAGGGAUCAUGAAAUGGCAAAAGGCUGUGCACUGGUUUUCAAACAGCCAGUGAAAUAGAAAGAAGGCAGAGCAGUGAAGGCUGAACUGUAACGUUCUUCGUCCAUAAAGCUGGCUCAGCCGAUGCAUUGGGGUUUGAAAUCUGACUGGAAAAAAAAACGCUUUUCUCACUGUGCAAGUUGGAUAUAAUGACGGCAGUAUCGCAAAGAGAUGUCGUAGCUUCUUUGCAAAUUGUAGAACCACUGCAACGUGAAGUAGGACAUUUCUGCCGUACUUGUUUGACAUUGCAAAUACUUUCUCUCUCUUUUUGCUACAGAAUGCAGAGAACGUUCAAUAAAUUGCAGUAAUAGUCGUAAAACAGCAUUUCUGUUCUUUUGCGUGGUGUUGAGCUUUGGUAUUGACUGGCUUCUGUUGUAUUGCCAAAGCGCUGGCAUUUUUGGAUCGUUGCCCACGUUGUCUGUCUCCCCCUCUCUGCACGCAGUUCCAUACUGUACUUUAUCAUCCAGAUGUCUUUGGAUGUGGAAUGUGCCUUUUGAUAGACCAAAUAAUUUUUAAAACAUGCAGAGGAAUUCGAUUCAUUUUGAGAAUGGACAGGUUUUUAAGUUUUUGAAACAUUGUCUUGUUAUGGUAAUAAAUGGCGCAUCAAAUUGCAAAUACAAAAAAGAGCCAAUAUAUACGUGGGUAGGACAUAUCUAUAUUUUGUAGGUGUUCCAGGAAGACUUUGUUUUGUGUAAAAUGAUUAAGUAUCCAAAUUUGAAUUUUGUGUGUAUAUAUUUUUUUGUGUGAAAAUAUCUUUUUCUGAACCAUUGCAGCAAAUAAUAUUAGGCUGUAAUGUGUACUUUGCACCAACCAUUUUUACGUCAUAGGUAUUGCCCUAUUUUUUGUGAAGCGUUCAGGAAAUUAAUGCAUCCCAGGGUUCUGCAAUCUACCAUCAAGUGUGCAUGCUUUAGAUUCUGUAACUAUUUUUAGAAAUUAUGAACUUUAUACUGGAAUUGUGUGCUUUUUGUAUAAUUUGCCAAAAAUCCAAAUAAAGUAAUGAUUUCUUUGUAAUAAAAAUUACAAAAAAUAUAAUAAAUGACUUAAGAAAAAUA
Molecule: long non-coding RNA, 1439 nt
Organism: Rhincodon typus (whale shark)
Lineage: Eukaryota; Metazoa; Chordata; Chondrichthyes; Orectolobiformes; Rhincodontidae
Exons: 3
Source: RefSeq, a predicted model, not a curated record